Molecule: ribosomal RNA, 253 nt
Filed under: uncultured bacterium
Lineage: Bacteria
Description: partial 16S ribosomal RNA
Rfam family: Bacterial small subunit ribosomal RNA
Source: RNAcentral
UACGGAGGGUGCAAGCGUUAUCCGGAUUCACUGGGUUUAAAGGGUGCGUAGGUGGAUUGGUAAGUCAGUGGUGAAAUCUCCAGGCUUAACUUGGAAACUGCCAUUGAUACUAUCAGUCUUGAAUACCGUGGAGGUCAGCGGAAUAUGUCAUGUAGCGGUGAAAUGCUUAGAUAUGACAUAGAACACCAAUUGCGAAGGCAGCUGGCUACACGAAUAUUGACACUGAGGCACGAAAGCGUGGGGAUCAAACAGG